GUAUGUUUAUUCCAAAUUCCAAACAUAACCUUAUAUUAUAAACAGUCGUUUAUUUAGAGUUAUUUAUUAUUGUUUUCUCAUAUUUUGCAAUUGUUAAGUUGGUUUACUUCGAAUUUAAUAUGCAUUACUGUGGUAUUUCUCCAGUUUUCUAAGAAGUUUGGUGAUUUUGAAUUGGGAUUAUGAUGAAUUUAACCCAAAGGCAAUGUGUGUUUAUUUAUGUGGCAAAAUUCCAGGCACCAUAAAAAUUUGAGUUUCUUCCUGUUGCCCAUGGAUGAAAUCGGUUUGCAGAAUGAAAAGAAAUUGUUCAGUGUGAUAUACUUUCUAUGAACAGUCCUCAAUAUUGUUACAUUAACUUUUAAAUAUGCACUUUACAUCUUGAGGAGCAGGCCUUUGCAGAAAUACUGAAAAGCGGGUUGCAAAACAACGCAAAAUAAAACAAAGGAAAUAUGUCUUGAGAUUAAACAUUCAAGUUGAAGGUGUGUUCUUUCUUAAACUGAAAUGAUAAUUUUGUAAUUCUGUAGGCACAUCUAUUGAGAAGUUACAACCAGUGGCAAAGUGCCUUAAGGGAAUCUAUGACAUAUAAUUGAAGCUAUCAGCAUUGGCUCUACAGCCCAUGGUGGGUCUUGGCCUGUUCCAGAAUCAGCUUCCACUCUUUCCUAUCCUUUGCUUGGCUUUCCAAUUUCUCACUCGAGCAUGGAUUUUUGGUAUAUAUGGGAUUAUAUUGUGAUAACGACCAGAUCUAUGAAAGAAUAGUAUGUUGUUAAAGAAGAUUGUGGUGACACUAUUCAUGAAUAUCUGAUAAUAUUGGUUAAUGUGAAUGGAGUCCAAAAUGGGUUUAGGCUGUUAUAUAAAAAAACUAGGUCAUUAGCAUAUGGAAGUAGGGCGACAUUAUCUGGUAUUAAAUUAUGUGAAUGAGGAGAAUUAAACCUAAAAACUCUAUUUAUUCUGCUAAUCAAUAUGAUUUUAAUAUAUUUUAAUAUAAAACAUAUGUUAUUCUUUCUAGGGACAUCUCCUCUGAAGGAAGUACAAUUAUUUGCCAGUAUGUCAAAUGAAUUUUCAACAUCAGUCAUACUUUCAUGAAUUUAUUGAUGAAAAUAAAACUAGGUACAUGAUUUAUUAUUUACUUCCAAGGGAUUCUAAGAUACUAUUUGUAAAAAGUCCAAUAUGCAGUGAUGAGCAUGCUAAUAACUGGCAAAAUAUGGGAUAUAACGCCAAAGAUGGGAAACAUGGGAAGCAUUCUGAAAUAAAAAGAGAUGAAACUGAGAGAAAUUAUCCAUAUAAACAUAUAAAUCAACAUUACAUUACAUAGUUUCCCACCUUUAGACGUAUCAGAUGAGUAUGAGAACUGUCACUGUGACAGGAGAAUUUUAUAAAAUACUCCUGUCACAGAGAUCUAAAGGUGGGAAACUAUGUAAUGUUAUCAUCGGCUAAGAGUGUUAACCUGCUAACCCCAUUUUUCACUGUGAGUGAUAUUGGGGUAGUUUCUAGGUCUGUGUACCUUCAUACCAUGUCCCACAAGCCCGCUGGUUCCACUGUAGUUUAGAGAUAGCUAUUUCUAAACUACAUUGGUGUCGGCGGGUUUGUGGGGUGGUGUAUGAAAAUACACAGACCCAGAAAC
RNAcentral lists this long non-coding RNA (1618 nucleotides) under Diabrotica virgifera virgifera (western corn rootworm). RNAcentral's name for it is "uncharacterized LOC126878670". Lineage: Eukaryota; Metazoa; Arthropoda; Insecta; Coleoptera; Chrysomelidae. The record is from RNAcentral.